AGGGCUUCGGCCCUUAGUAAAGUGGCGGACGGGUGAGUAACACGUGGAUUAUCUGCCCUUCGGCGGGGGACAACAGUCCGAAAGGAUUGCUAAUACCGCAUACGUCCAAGAGGUCUAACGGCCUUUUGGGGAAAGAUGGCCUCUCCAUGGAAGCUAUCUCCGAAGGAUGAGUCCGCGUCCCAUCAGCUAGUUGGCGGUGUAAGAGACCACCAAGGCGAAGACGGGUAGCUGGUCUGAGAGGAUGGCCAGCCACACUGGAACUGAGACACGGUCCAGACUCCUACGGGAGGCAGCAGUGGGGAAUAUUGGGCAAUGGGCGCAAGCCUGACCCAGCCAUGCCGCGUGAGUGAUGAAGGCCUUCGGGUCGUAAAGCUCUGUGGAGAGGGAAGAAACCCGCUAUGGCUAAUAUCCAUGGCGAUUGACGGUACCUCUUUAGCAAGCACCGGCUAACUCCGUGCCAGCAGCCGCGGUAA
This 473-nucleotide ribosomal RNA is filed under the name uncultured delta proteobacterium. RNAcentral's name for it is "bacterial SSU rRNA". It matches the Rfam family "Bacterial small subunit ribosomal RNA", at positions 74 to 523 of the family's 1533-position model. Lineage: Bacteria; Deltaproteobacteria. The record is from RNAcentral.